AUGCAAAUGAGGGGCGUGACCACGCCCACUCCCCUCAGGCCGUGGGCGUGGCCUCGCUAUGCUAAUCGCCCUCAUUCCCACGCAGACCCCGCCCGCUCCCCGGACGUUUUCCCGCUCUGCUCCUGCGAGGACUACGAGGACCAGGUGACCUUCGGCUGCUUCGCCGCCGGCUUCUUCCCGCAGCCGGCGCAGAUCUCCUGGGAGGGGGCGGCCUCCGAGCACAGCCGGGACUUCCCGGAACUUCCGGUGGGCGUGGCCCAGUUCGGGCGGGGCUCCCGCGUCACCCUGGCCGCCGACCAGGCCAAGGGCCAAAAGCAUUUUGGCUCCAAUUUCCGCCAUUUUGGAUCCGAUUUCAACUCUAUUGGCUCCAAUUUCCGCCAUUUUGAAUCGGCCAUUUUGGAUCCAUUUUUGGCCAUCUUGGCUCCAAUUUCUGCCAUUUUUGAUCCAAUUUCAGCCAUUUUGGCUCCAAUUUCCGCCAUCUUUGANGCCAUUUUGGAUCCAUUUUUGGCCAUCUUGGCUCCAAUUUCUGCCAUUUUUGAUCCAAUUUCAGCCAUUUUGGCUCCAAUUUCCGCCAUCUUUGAUCCGAUUUCAACUCUAUUGGCUCCAAUUUCCGCCAUUUUGGAUCAGCCUUUUUGUCUCCAUUUUCGGCCAUCUUUAAUCCGCCUUUCGGCCAUCUUGCCUCGAUUUCCGCUGGGAUUUCGCCCUUUUUUCCCCCAUUUUCCGUCGUUUUGGGGAUUUUUUUGGCCUCACCUGCCCCCACCUCUCCCCGCAGCCUGCAACAACACCCCCCAGCCCCCCGACUUCACCGUCUCCCUCCUGAGCGACCCCAACCAGGCCCACCCGGAGCAGGACCAGGUCCACCUCCUGUGCCAAGUGCGCGGCCGCGGCGCCGCCGACGCCACCCUCAGCUGGUUGGUCAACGGUGACCCCGCCCAGCUGGGGGCGGAGCUUUCCAGCUGCCAGGAGGGCGGCGACGGUCAGGUGACCCUCAGCGGCCGCGUCAACAUCAGCCGCAGCCAAUGGGACAAAGGGAGCAACUUCACCUGCCGGGCAAGCCACGCCCACCUGGCCACGCCCAUCGAGGCCAGCAUCAGCACGUUCUGUAAAGCCGCCGCCGCCCAGCCCUCGGUGCGGGUGCUGCCGCCGUCCCUGCAGGACCUGUUCCUGUCCACCAGCCCCAACCUCACCUGCGUGGCGUCCGGCCUGGAGUCGCCGGCCGUGGAGUUCACCUGGAGCCGCGCGCCGGGCGGGGCGCUGGGCGCGGCCACUUCCGGCCCCGCCCGGCCCCUCCCCGGCGGCCGCUUCGAGGUCCGGAACUUUCUGGAAAUCUGCGCCGAGGAUUGGAAUUCCGGCGCCGCCUUCACCUGCCGGGUGAGCGGCAAAGGGCUGGGCGAGGAGGCGAUGGAGGCCAGCGUCAGGAAGGAGAGCGGCGGCGCCACGGCGGCGCCGAGCGUCUUCGUCUUCCCGCCGCCGCCCGAGGAGCUGGCCCGGGGCGAGGCGGCCACCUUGACCUGCCUGGCGGCCAACUUCGCGCCGCGCGACGUCCUCCUCACCUGGACGCAGGGGGACGCGCCGGUGGAGCCGGCGAGGUUCUCCACCUUCGGGCCGCAGCCGGACGCCGGCGGCGCCGGGACCUUCUCGGUCUACUCCAAGCUGGAGGUGCCGGCGGCCGAGUGGCGGCGCGGCGACGUCUUCGGCUGCGUGGUGGGACACGAGGCCGUGGGCGGCGUGAAGUUCGUGCAGAGGAACCUGGACAGGUCCACGGCGCGGCCGGCCAACGUCAACGUCUCCGUGGUGCUGGCCGACAGCGACGCCGUGUGCUACUGAGCCGCUUUUGGGGCGAAUAAAGGAGAUUUUGAGAAGUUAAAA
Non-coding RNA from Lonchura striata (white-rumped munia), 1869 nucleotides. NCBI's taxonomy places the organism in Eukaryota, Metazoa, Chordata, Aves, Passeriformes, Estrildidae. The record is from the annotation of a RefSeq genome assembly.